Molecule: non-coding RNA, 2235 nt
Organism: Microcebus murinus (gray mouse lemur)
Lineage: Eukaryota; Metazoa; Chordata; Mammalia; Primates; Cheirogaleidae
Source: RefSeq, a predicted model, not a curated record
UAGAACUUUAGUGUAGCCUAAGUGUACAGUGUUUAUAAAGUCUACAGUGUUUAUAAAGUAAUAUACAGUAAUGUACUAGGCCUUCAAUUCACUUACUACUCAUUUGUCAACUCACCAAGAGGAAAUUCCAGUCCUGCAAGCCCUAUUCAUGUCUUAGGAAAAAUUGACAACUGAAUAUCCUCAGACAGAUACAAAAAAGGAGCACCCUAAACAAAUGACAGAGGAGAAGUGUUCCAGAUUAUAUUUCUAAGCUGGUAUAAGAGAGUGAAAGAUGUUAGAGCAUAAAUGUCUGCUGGUGCAAAAGUUCUUCAGAAAGAAAAAAAAAAUGAUGCUGCAAAAGAUGAAUAAUUAAAUACCAAACCUGGAUAAAUACAAGAAGCUUAUGCAAUCCCUACAAGAGAAGCCUUGUCUUCAGAAAUAUGCUACCCAUGGUAGCAAACUGGAAUCACCCUUGAACUUGACUACAUAUAAUUACAUAAUUGUCCCCACUACCUCCUUAUGAACACACAUUUAAGGAUAAAUCAGAGUAGUACAUCUGAAGAAAGCAGAAGGAAUAGGUGUUUUUCAGGCAACUGAAUUGAGCAGAUUGUAACACUUGGGUAGGACAUUAAGCACUGUGAUUUUUGUCAAGAGAAGUAGAAAACAUACCUGGUUACACAUUUCUUUCCCCACAAUAGGAAACAGCCAAAUUAGUCUAAGGAGCCACAGUUUUUCUUCACAUUCAAUUCAUCAAGAAUUCACCAUAAGCAGCCCCUAAGUUCUGCAAAUGCAGUUUUUUAAAAAAGAGCUGUGAAUUUCUCCUCUCAGACACCUAGGAAAGCAGAGAGAAAGAGCAUGAAUGCACAGCCCAGAACAAGAGUUUCUGCGAAGAACUGAGGUGCAUGCAUGGUUAACAUUUGUGUUAGAGACUCUGAAGUGUUAGUGCUCCCCUCAAGAGACGGCUGUUAACAAUUCCGGGUUUCAGGACUCUGUGGUGCCUACCCUCAGCACAGUCUUUGAAAGCUGCUGACUUGUUCUGCAUGUUCAAGGAAGAAUUAAACUUCUGAAAGUUGCUGCAUGCUGCUCUGGCGGAGGCCCGUGCAUCUGUGCAGCAGUUUUCCAUUCACCAGAAUUUUCAGAAUGAAUGACUUGUUGAUGAAAGCUUGUUGGGAAUUUUGGCCUUCUGAGUGUUAAGCAUAACAUUAGCCUACUUUUCUCUAAAGUCUCAUAAAUCCUUGAAAAGGAGUUAACUAUUAAAGUGGUCCUGACAACAGUUGGUGAGCUCAAUGAAAGAUAAAAGGCAAAUGCUCAGAUUAAGAAGGCCCUCUCACUUUAACAGAAAAACUGGCAAACUUUAAUCCCUAGCAGUGAGUGAGCCAAUGUCAGAAGUUUUGAAAUACUCUGAAGACCACAGUGUAUAGCCCCACAAAAGACACAUGGAUUCUAUAGCAAGAAUCAUCAGGCUGGAAUGAUGCACGAUCCAAGAAUUGAUUAACCACGAGCAUGAGGUUUAACACUUGGGGAAAUGUCAUCAACACGAUGGGAAAGAAAGUGAAUCAUCUAUGUGCUUAGGCAAAGUUUCCAAAAAGAAUCUAAAGUGAAGAACAGAUGGUGAGAUGACAAGCCAAAGAUAUCUGACAUUUCUCCAGCAUCUCCAAGACAGCGGCUUUUGUAAUGUUGUGAGCGACAAGGCAAGCUAUUAAGUAGUUAUUGAGAAUCUAUUACAUAUUAAGCAUGGUGGUGAACACUGGACAAGGAAAGGAGAAAGAGAGAAAGAAAAAUAGAAAAAGAAAAGAGAAAGAAAAAAAGCAGAAAAAAGAAAGAGAAGGAUGAAAGGAAGAAAAUGAAAAGAUAUGUAAAGAAUGUUCAGGAAUAGAACUAGGCCAAGGUGGUUACAGAAAGAGGCUAUAAGAAAUUAACUACCUGUUUAAAAUGAAAUAAAGUGUCUAGAAGAAUUAGAUCCCAAUGAACUACAAAAACUCAGAUGGAAUUACAAAAUUGUUGCCAAAAAUGUGAAGACGAUAUGGAGAAGAGAAGAGGUACUGGGGUACUAAAGAUUAGAAAAUAUUCCUUGAAUUUGAAAAAGGGGAGAAGGAUGGAUCCAGAUAUUAAUCAUCAAAAUUAAAGAUAUCUUAAAUAUUAGAACAAACUGUUAAUCAGAUGGUCUGUGACCAUUUAGGACAGAGAGAGACAUGCACUAAAAGCCAGCAUGGGACUAUUUAUUAAGAAGAUCUCAGUGAGACCAAAAUAUAGAAC